Molecule: long non-coding RNA, 422 nt
Filed under: Vigna radiata
Lineage: Eukaryota; Viridiplantae; Streptophyta; Magnoliopsida; Fabales; Fabaceae
Description: long non-coding RNA (VRAD_LNC012671)
Source: RNAcentral
UUGAAGUGUUUAAGAGCAGAGUUUCCGGUCUAAAGCAUUACUUUUAUAUUAUCAACUGAUUUUCCCCUACCUCUUCGAUUGUUGGUAGAGAAAUUAUAUUUCAGGACUGGUGAUCUGUGAGUUUAGUAUUCCACCUAAUAGCUUAAGCUUUUAGAAAAGUUGGUACUUGAUUUUGGAAUAUGAUGCUACUUGAUCGAGCCAUCUAACCUAACUCUACACAUUGACUUAAAAGUUCAUUCACAAUUUGACAACUAAUAAACCAAUGUUAACACUGAAGGAAAGAAAAUUCUAAUGAAAGCACCUGUCUUUGAAUUCACUUUGAUCUAAAAUGUGCAGAAUAUAAAAUGGCAUAAUGCUUUACCAGUUACUAUAAUCAGGAUUAGGAGAUUUUACUUAUUAAGACCUUUAAUGCUAUAAAAGNN